CCUCUUAUAGCUUAGUGGUCACAGCAUUGGUAAGUAAAGCCAAAGGUCCCGGGUUCGAUUUCCGGCAAGGGUG
This is a non-coding RNA of Agrilus planipennis (emerald ash borer), 73 nucleotides long. NCBI's taxonomy places the organism in Eukaryota, Metazoa, Arthropoda, Insecta, Coleoptera, Buprestidae. The record is from Rfam.